This 206-nucleotide long non-coding RNA is filed under the name Vitis vinifera (wine grape). RNAcentral describes it as "long non-coding RNA (VVIN_LNC007944)". Lineage: Eukaryota; Viridiplantae; Streptophyta; Magnoliopsida; Vitales; Vitaceae. The record is from RNAcentral.
CUAUAAAAAAUGGAAGGGGGAAGGCACUUGGCCCCUCUUGGUCAAAAGACGUAUUCAAGAUUUGGAGUUGGGAGCUGUAAUGCAAUUCAUGGAGCUCAUCCAUAGGGUGAGAGUGCUAAAUUAGGGGAGGAUAGCUUACUUUGGAAGGAGGAGAAGAAGAGUACGUUCCAAAUGAAAUUUUUUUAUAACUCCUUACACAAUAAGAA